RNAcentral lists this ribosomal RNA (624 nucleotides) under Curtobacterium sp. RNAcentral's name for it is "bacterial SSU rRNA". It matches the Rfam family "Bacterial small subunit ribosomal RNA", at positions 762 to 1384 of the family's 1533-position model. Lineage: Bacteria; Bacillati; Actinomycetota; Actinomycetes; Micrococcales; Microbacteriaceae. The record is from RNAcentral.
UGGGGAGCGAACAGGAUUAGAUACCCUGGUAGUCCAUGCCGUAAACGUUGGGCGCUAGAUGUAGGGACCUUUCCACGGUUUCUGUGUCGUAGCUAACGCAUUAAGCGCCCCGCCUGGGGAGUACGGCCGCAAGGCUAAAACUCAAAGGAAUUGACGGGGGCCCGCACAAGCGGCGGAGCAUGCGGAUUAAUUCGAUGCAACGCGAAGAACCUUACCAAGGCUUGACAUACACCGGAAACGGCCAGAGAUGGUCGCCCCCUUGUGGUCGGUGUACAGGUGGUGCAUGGUUGUCGUCAGCUCGUGUCGUGAGAUGUUGGGUUAAGUCCCGCAACGAGCGCAACCCUCGUUCUAUGUUGCCAGCGGGUUAUGCCGGGGACUCAUAGGAGACUGCCGGGGUCAACUCGGAGGAAGGUGGGGAUGACGUCAAAUCAUCAUGCCCCUUAUGUCUUGGGCUUCACGCAUGCUACAAUGGCCGGUACAAAGGGCUGCGAUACCGUAAGGUGGAGCGAAUCCCAAAAAGCCGGUCUCAGUUCGGAUUGAGGUCUGCAACUCGACCUCAUGAAGUCGGAGUCGCUAGUAAUCGCAGAUCAGCAACGCUGCGGUGAAUACGUUCCCGGGCCUUGU